AAGUCGUAACAAGGUUUCCGUAGGUGAACCUGCGGAAGGAUCAUUAUUGAAUAUGCUUGAUAGGUUGUAGCUGGCUCUUCGGAGUAUGUGCACGCUUAUCUUGACUUAAUUCAUCCACCUGUGCACCUUUUGUAGUCUUGGGGGUUGAGAUCGGUCGACUAUCGGAUGGCCAAAGGUCAUUCCGGAUGUGAGGAAUGCUGAGUGCGAAAAGCAUACAGCUCUUCUCAAAAUGACUUGUCUUCCUCGAGUACUAUGUAUUCAUAUACCACAUAGUAUGUUGUAGAAUGUGAUCAAAUGGGUCUAUGUACCUAUAAAUAAAUCAUAUACAAA
This 330-nucleotide unclassified non-coding RNA is filed under the name plant metagenome. RNAcentral describes it as "partial contains small subunit ribosomal RNA and internal transcribed spacer 1". The stretch from base 1 to 46 matches the Rfam family "Eukaryotic small subunit ribosomal RNA", at positions 1786 to 1831 of the family's 1831-position model. The record is from RNAcentral.